RNAcentral lists this ribosomal RNA (399 nucleotides) under Salmonella enterica subsp. enterica serovar Mbandaka. RNAcentral describes it as "partial 23S ribosomal RNA". It matches the Rfam family "Bacterial large subunit ribosomal RNA", at positions 454 to 943 of the family's 2925-position model. The record is from RNAcentral. Lineage: Bacteria; Pseudomonadati; Pseudomonadota; Gammaproteobacteria; Enterobacterales; Enterobacteriaceae.
CAUCCUCCAAGGCUAAAUACUCCUGACUGACCGAUAGUGAACCAGUACCGUGAGGGAAAGGCGAAAAGAACCCCGGCGAGGGGAGUGAAAAAGAACCUGAAACCGUGUACGUACAAGCAGUGGGAGCACAGGUUUACCUGUGUGACUGCGUACCUUUUGUAUAAUGGGUCAGCGACUUAUAUUCUGUAGCAAGGUUAACCGAUUACGAAGUUUAAUUCUGUUAAAGAGCAGCACUCUAUAGAGUGGCUUUUUUGAUAUUAUCUUUGCGAAUGUCGCAAAUGUGGAGCAAAACUUCGCAGUGAACCCUUUCAGGUACACUCUGAAGUAUUUUUUCGUGUAGGCUGGUUUUCCAGGCAAAUCCGGAAAAUCAAGGCUGAGGCGUGAUAAAGAAGCGUACUU